Non-coding RNA from Saccharata proteae CBS 121410, 87 nucleotides. NCBI's taxonomy places the organism in Eukaryota, Fungi, Ascomycota, Dothideomycetes, Botryosphaeriales, Saccharataceae. The record is from the annotation of a GenBank genome assembly.
GCGUCGGUAGCUCAGUGGUAGAGCGUGGGACUGCAGUAUCCUGCUGUAGGCAUCUUAAGGUCACCAGUUCAAUCCUGGUUCGGCGCU